Long non-coding RNA from Parus major (Great Tit), 5764 nucleotides. RefSeq lists it as uncharacterized. The record is from RefSeq and is a predicted model, not a curated record. NCBI's taxonomy places the organism in Eukaryota, Metazoa, Chordata, Aves, Passeriformes, Paridae. The transcript is spliced from 2 exons.
UUCAUCUCAAUGGGAGCUAUGCUUUGUUCCAGGUUUCCUAUUGAUUUUGAUAAAUUUCAGCAACUUAGAACACAGAUUCUGACAUAUUUUUCAUGUGCUGUGGCUGUAGAAUAAAUCAGAAUGAAUGAAUGGAUCAGAUAUUAGAAGAUCCAUAGUUUCCAAUGUUCUUUUGGGAAGCCUUAUUAAGUUAUUAGUCCAUGCAGGUAGCUUUCCCUCCUCCAUUUCUUACAAAUCAGUUCUUUACUCAGCUGCUACAACUAGGGUUGGUCAAACCUUAGGGUGUGCUCAGGAGUGGAGACAUGACUUAAAACAUGCAAAAUAAUACUGGAGUGGAGUAAUGAAUUAAUAAUAAUUAAUGUUUGUGUCCCACAGAAAGGAAAGCAGCUUCCCUUAAGCAGCCAUGCAGAGCUUGGAGCAGAGUUGUGGGGUGACUUGCCACAGUGCUGGAUUUGCUCUGCUGUCUGAUGUGGAGGCACAGCAGGAGCCUCAGCUGCAGAGGACGUGGCCACCUGAGGUGUCCUGGUGUGUGUCACCUCCUGGAGGACAGCUCUGUCCUCCCUGGGUUAACCUGGCUGGUGCCCUGCGGUAGGAGGGGAUACCCACACCUCAUGAACCAGCUCUGAGAAGCUCCAACUCUGCUGCUGCUGCUUCAGGCCAGAAGACCCCAAACCUGAUGGUUUUGACAUAAAGGAGAUGAUUUCACUGAUGAAAUUGGCCAGAAACUGGCCAUCAUUGGCCUGAUGAAGGUGCAUUUCAGCACAGGUAGGCUCCUGGAUGCAUGGCUUUCCCUUCAUAUUUUACUUUGGGACUGAUUUGCUCGGAAAUAUGGGGCAUUGCUUCCUGCUUGCAUGUCUGCCUGGCAUCCACAGAUGGUGAACAUGAAGUCCCUUGAUAGGCUUUUCCUCAGAGUGGUAUAAUGGGCUCCUGUAAACUGGGAGUUUGGAGUAACAGCCACAAGUCAUUGCACAGAACUCAUUUUAGACUCCAACCAAUACAGUUUGUGCUGUGGAAACACCUUUAGUGUCUUCUAAACUUUCAGUUUGGUUUGGUGCAACAUCUCCCCUGUUUUGUAAGAGUCCCAAAAUUUGUUCUUGGAUAAAUCUCCAUUUCCCAUCUGGCUUUCAGCAAGUUCCAGAUCUUGUCCUAAUUAUUGCAAUGUGAGCAUAUGUUAUGUAAAGAACUGACAAAACCCAAAAUCAUCAUUGGGAAAACCCUGGAAUACUGAUGGGUUUUGUGUGAGCAUCCAAAGUGGGACAGAUUAGUUUCCUUUCAUAGAUCUAAGUUGCAGAAAAAAGAAGUUAGAGAUGUCCAAAUCUGCAUGUGAGGAGCUGUGGGUACCCCCAGGUGUGACCACUGAGGCUCUCACACAGGUGCUCUGUGCUCUGAGCUUUGCUCUUUGGCUGGAGCAAGGCUCUGUGGUGUCACCCUGGUAACACCCAGGGGCUGCAGUGUGGCCUUGCUCUUCUGUGACCCCUGUGAACUCCAUACCAGGUCUCUGCUCCCACCAGGAGCUGCCAGCAAAUAGGUUUAUAGAAGGAUAGUGGCAGGAGACUUGGCAGCUGACAGCAGAGCAGCUGUAUUUGCUGUUUCUGUCUGCCAGAACACAAAGCAGAAUUAAUUUAAGCUACUGUACAGGUUAAUACAUCCUUUAAGGUGAGAGAUACUGUAUAAAUAUAGUGGCACCAACAUCCUAGGCAAUAUUUUAGUAUGAAAUUUCGUCUGACCUUAUUAAUUUUACUUGGAGAAAAACACAGAGGAAAUCAAAAAAAGAACACAUCAUGUCAGGUUGUCCAUUUAUGAUCACAGAACUCUGCUCUUGUCAUCCAUUGCUGGUUGAUGCUGGUGCUGGUGAGAAUACCUGAGACAGUUGAAGGGGCACAAGAUCACUUUACAGGGCUGUUUCUGCCAGCUUACCUGAGCCCUGGUUUUCAGGUGGGCAAACUGGUAUGGCUCCAGUUGGAGCAGUUUAUCUUUCAGAUGGCCCAGCAUCCCCAGGAGGAGAGCCUGACUUUGCCAGGAGGUACUGUCCACCCUGGCUCCCUGUAGGGCAAUUUCUCUUGGUGCUGGGGACAGCCGUGCUCUGCCCAGCAGGGUCUCAAGGAGCUCCUCCUUCCUGCACAAGGGUGCUUGUAAGCUUCCUAAAGCUGAGAUGUGCUGAACAUGUUCCUACUCUGCUUAACUUGAGGUUUUUUUGCUCUCCAUGUAUCCAGCUGAUCAGGGCUGUCUGUACCCUGACCUGGGUAGGGCUGAGAUGGUCUCAGCAGUUUGUGUGACACCUCCUUCUCCCUGAGCUGUUGGGUGGCCCUGUCCCCUGGGGAAAUGAGGUUGUGUGAGCCCUGUGGCACUGAGGGGAGGCAGGAGGAAAGGAAAUUGCUGGGGUUACACAGACAGGUCAGGAGCUGGGGAAUGCUGUUUGAAUGGGGGGCCUUCACCACUCAGUUUGCAGUGAUGUUGCCAGAAACCUUGCUCAGCUGAGGAGCCUUGGGAGUUUUUUUGUUUUAGUUUUAAGCCAUUGAGGGUGUUGCCAUGUGUCAUUAAGUGUGAGUGAGUUUUGCCAAGGAUGGGAGUUGGAGACCUUCAUUCAUUGUUGUAGCCUGGUGGCUGGAAUUCCCACAUUACAACGUGGCUCCAGGCAGUGGUGAUUCAGAAGGAGGAAAAAACGUUCCCUCUGUUGACACAUCAAUAAUAAUUCUAAAGGCAUCUGAGGGACCAUGGCCCUGGGAAUAUUCCCACUUUCCAAUAGUGAAAAGGUUUGCUACUCAUUCUUUUAAUUCUUUCAGCUGCUUUAGGACGCAUAAUAAAUAUCAGACCAGAAAACUUUAUCACAGCUCCCCUUCAGAAAUCCUUGGGCUGAGAGGAGAGCUGUUUGGAAACACUUUGUAGAAUUACCACUGCUUUUAAUACUGUGGUAAAAUGAGGAUAAAUCUGUGCUGCUGUAAUUACAUGACAGUGUAAAAAGUCUGGAAAUCUGUCCAGGUAGGGUGGGAGGAUAAGCCCCAGUGUCAGACCCCUGAUGAUCCCUUUGGCUUUGGUUUCCUGCUCUGUGACUUUGUGAAUACAUUUAGCAGUGGCUGGAGUUCAAGUUACAGCCACACAGAGUAAAAGUGAAUGUCACUGAAGAUGUGCUCUGGAAAGAAGAUGUCAACCUGCUGUACAUAAUGACAUGGGAUAGCUUGAGGAUUGUUUCUUCCUAAAUGGCCUAAUGCAAGCAAUAACUCUCCUGGAGAGCAAAGAGGACACAGCACCCACAGAAGUUCUGCAGCAUUUUUACGUUUCCCUUAGCCUUAUAAACACGAUUUUGAAUGGGCUGUUAGCAGGAUGUCAGGCUGGGAAUGUUUGCCCAGCCUCUGAAGGCAUGCAGACGUGCUGUGGAGCGAGCAGGGAAAGCUGGUGCACACUGAACAGGAGAGGGCACUGGCACUCCAGCAGCUGUGCUGGGCUCAGCUGCCGAAGGACGGAUUUUUACUGCAGAUCAGCACACACACUCUCAUCAUCUUCUGCUCUUAAUGUGAGAAAAGAGUCUGUGAAAAGAGUGAAUGAACUGCAUUUAUUGUCUGUGUCUCUCUAGGGAAAGGGAAAUCCACUUGCACCAGGUAGGAACCUGCUCCUUUGCUUUGAAAUUCAUCUGCUGGUGUCUGGUGCGGCUCCUGUGAGUGUCUUUUUGAGAAAUUCUGCUUUAGUGUCCAUCUCUGCACCGACAUUAGGUAUUCAGUACACAAACUAAGGUGACAUUCAUGUUGACCAAGGCAAGCUCAGGUUGUGUGUCCUCUCCUGCAGAUGUGGAAGUGCAGCCCUUCACCCCAAGAACUGUUAUGUGCUGCCUCUCCUCCUGCCUCAUCUCUCAGCCAUCAGACUCUGAAAGGCUGAAUUUUCCUCCUGCUUCACAGCAUUAACCACAGUGUACUGGGAAGCAAUGUGCAAGUGGCCCCUAACCAGUGGGUGAGGAGCUCUAAGUCAGGCUCUGUCCCUCUGGCCACCAUCCCAGCAUCUCCAAAUGUGAUGCUCAUGAAGGGCUGCAUGCCCUGACUCAAAAUGCUGGACAGUGACCUCUUUUUUACUUUUUUUUCUUUCCUUCUUGAAUUUUCAUCUCUUUUUUUUUUGCUUUCACCUUUUUUGCUUUGCACAUGUAAAGGGUCUAUCAUACUGGAAAGAACCAAGUUCUGUUUGUUUUCCAAUCUAAUUAGUUUAAAUUAGACCCAAAGUAAAGCUUUCGUGGAGCUGUCAGCAUAAUUACAGGCUGGGAAAGCCUUCCUGCUGAAUCUAAAUCCAGCCCCCGGCUUCCUGGUCCUGACAGAGUGUGGCAGAGGAAGGGGGAACAAGGCAGAAGAAGGGGGAACAAGGCAGGGGUGACAGCAGCCCUGUUGUUUCUCUCCCAAAUCCUUUGCAAUUUUUUUCCUGCUCUGUAUAAAGGUUUGUAAAAGGCAAAGCAGAAUAGGCCUGACAGCAACAGAGGGAAAUAUAUUUAGAAACAUGAAAAAUAGGAAGAGAAAAUGUUUUAUUUGCAUUAUUCACCAAGCUCUAUUAUUUAUUACAUUGCUGUGCUAGUGCCUGGUUUUAUAACUCCCAAAGAAAUGAUUGUGCUUGUGAGGGCAGCUUUGUGCUGCUGUCUCUUAGAUCUGGACUCUUGAUACGAGGCAUUCUUUGGCUGUUGCUGCUGUGAGGGUGGGGAGGCCCUGGCAGAGGGUGCCUAGAGAAGCUGUGGCUGUCCCUGGAUCCCUGGAAGUGUUCAGGGUCAGGUUAGAUGGGGCUUGGCACAACCUGGGAUGGUAGAAGGUGUCCCUGCCCAUGGGAGGGGGAACAAGGUGAUCUUUAAUGUUCCCUCUCACCCAAACCAUUUCAUGGGUCUGUUUCAGCGCUGCUUAGUUCAAAUGGUGAAUUUGUCAGGUCUGGUUUUGACAGGAGGAAGGUGAACACAUUUAUUCUGCUUGCUGUGUCCCCAGCUCAGCCUUCUGCUGAAUUUUUCCUGAGGUUAUUGUGUGAGCUUGGGCAAGGGCAGGCAGGAAGGUGGAGUGGAGUGAUUUCCAUGCUGGAUUUAACAAAGGUGAUGGGGCAGCAGGACCUGCUUUCCAGCCCAAGCAGAUCUGUGGGGACUUCAUCCUCCUUGAUAACCUCCACAAGCACUGGCUUGUCCUCAGGCCAAUCUGAACCAGAAGGGCUGUCCUGGGCAGCAAAGGCACAUCUCAGUCUUGCACAAGCACAUUUAGGAUGUCACUACAUUUCAGCACUGUUUGUGCUAUGGAGCUGAAGGGCUAUGGAGCUGCUGGUGUUCUGUGGGGUGUUUGGGAUUGGCAGUGAUCAUGCACAGCUGGGUAUAAGGGAAAUGUAUGAGCUUAGGAGACACUUUCCUGCACUUUUCAUACCAUUGCAGAAAUGAGAAUGAUGUUUGCUUGACACAGGAGAGCAGAAAUUUGGUGUUGAUGUGGUUUGGUUUCUUACUGUAGGUUUGUGGGAACACUGUCCCUUGGAGCAGGCCUCUUCUGCUGCAGCAGCUGCUGCCCACCACAUCUCUAUGGUCGUCUCAGAUUAAUAUUUUUCCACUUAUCACAUAGGUACUUCUGAGUCUUUCUGGUGCUGGAUAUUUGGCCCGUCUGAGCUUGUUCACCCUUUCUGUCCCCCAGAUCUCACAGCCUGGCUUUCAAAGACUUGCAAAUAAAGCAAAAGGGUUAGAAAAUAAGGAUGCUCCAUAGUUAGAUACUGACAUACUGCUAAGCUGUCUUAGGGUAAUGUGUUUUUACUUUUAAAGAUAAAUUUAUGUUCUUCUACA